This 253-nucleotide ribosomal RNA is filed under the name uncultured bacterium. RNAcentral's name for it is "partial 16S ribosomal RNA". It matches the Rfam family "Bacterial small subunit ribosomal RNA", at positions 524 to 776 of the family's 1533-position model. The record is from RNAcentral.
UACAGAGGGGGCAAGCGUUGUUCGGAAUUACUGGGCGUAAAGGGCGCGUAGGCGGCCUGUUAAGUCGAACGUGAAAUCCCCGGGCUCAACCCGGGAACUGCGUCCGAUACUGGCAGGCUUGAAUUCGGGAGAGGGAUGUGGAAUUCCAGGUGUAGCGGUGAAAUGCGUAGAUAUUUGGAGGAACACCGGUGGCGAAGGCGGCAUCCCGGACCGAUACUGACGCUGAGGAGCGAAAGCCAGGGGAGCAAACGGG